RNAcentral lists this ribosomal RNA (638 nucleotides) under Pseudomonas sp. RNAcentral's name for it is "bacterial SSU rRNA". It matches the Rfam family "Bacterial small subunit ribosomal RNA", at positions 22 to 655 of the family's 1533-position model. The record is from RNAcentral. Lineage: Bacteria; Pseudomonadati; Pseudomonadota; Gammaproteobacteria; Pseudomonadales; Pseudomonadaceae.
GCUCAGAUUGAACGCUGGCGGCAGGCCUAACACAUGCAAGUCGAGCGGAUGACGGGAGCUUGCUCCUUGAUUCAGCGGCGGACGGGUGAGUAAUGCCUAGGAAUCUGCCUGGUAGUGGGGGACAACGUUUCGAAAGGAACGCUAAUACCGCAUACGUCCUACGGGAGAAAGCAGGGGACCUUCGGGCCUUGCGCUAUCAGAUGAGCCUAGGUCGGAUUAGCUAGUUGGUGGGGUAAUGGCUCACCAAGGCGACGAUCCGUAACUGGUCUGAGAGGAUGAUCAGUCACACUGGAACUGAGACACGGUCCAGACUCCUACGGGAGGCAGCAGUGGGGAAUAUUGGACAAUGGGCGAAAGCCUGAUCCAGCCAUGCCGCGUGUGUGAAGAAGGUCUUCGGAUUGUAAAGCACUUUAAGUUGGGAGGAAGGGCAGUAAGUUAAUACCUUGCUGUUUUGACGUUACCGACAGAAUAAGCACCGGCUAACUCUGUGCCAGCAGCCGCGGUAAUACAGAGGGUGCAAGCGUUAAUCGGAAUUACUGGGCGUAAAGCGCGCGUAGGUGGUUUGUUAAGUUGGAUGUGAAAGCCCCGGGCUCAACCUGGGAACUGCAUCCAAAACUGGCAAGCUAGAGUACGGUAGA